AAGAGACGUGCGUCCAUUUAUUUGUUCGAGAGAAUCUACUGGAAUUAGACGAAGUACACCUGCUGCGCGGCGAAUCUUCUCCUUUCAAUCAAGAGAAAUCUUUCCGAGGAUAAAUCUUUGUUGGAUAAUUACGCUCGGCACAAAUCCUUAUUUGAAAUUUGCCUAUUUUCAACUCAAGAAGUUGUCCGAUUUGGUUUUGGCUCCGCCGAGCAGGAUGCGUUUUUAGCCCUAACUAGCUGCUUGCUCCGAUUUCUGCGCAGCAAUAAGGGGAUUAAUUCAUACGAGCAGAGAGGAAAUUCGUGUGGGCGAGAUAAUUGCCAGCUUGUGUCAACCCGAUGGCGUAAUUGAGCAACAGCCUUAAUAAUCAUAAUCACUGCCCACCAUACUACCUGACUGAGAAAUCGACUUUGCGUUUUUGACCUCAGGGAACUUCAACAAGUCGGCGGAGGUGUGCGCAUCAGAAGUCAGCAUUCAACGUGAGAGAACCUUUCCCUUUUGUUAACACUCGGAAAAAUUGAAGGUUUCGAAUAAAGUGAAAAAUUUGACUUCAGUUUUUAAGAAGAUCAAAGCAAGACAUUGAAAUUUUUCAAUUAUUUUAUGAUUGACUGACUUAAGAUACAGUGACAUCAUUUUGGUAAAACUGAGAUGUAAAACAAUCACUAAGAAUUACGAGACAAGCGCAAAAGUGACGUCAAAAUUAUGAGAGGAAGUUGUAAGUCACAGGAAUAAACAACAAUAAAAGUCGGUUGGACAGCAGCAGUUUGAAAUGACAUUGGGCGUGAUUGUGAGAAUGAAAUCGUGUGGCAGGUGAAAUUACAGAACUGCGUGUGGGUGUCGCCUUUUAUUCAGGUGGACUGCGCUGCCUACUCAACUUCAACUGACUAAGUUUUUCUGCAUACUAACAGCUUGGUCAAUUAAAAGGCACUUCCUUUUAUGGAUGGCGAUUACAGAUUUGUUUAAACUACAAGUUAGAAUUUCUUAA
This is a long non-coding RNA of Neocloeon triangulifer, 982 nucleotides long. RefSeq lists it as uncharacterized. The transcript has 3 exons. Lineage: Eukaryota; Metazoa; Arthropoda; Insecta; Ephemeroptera; Baetidae. The record is from RefSeq and is a predicted model, not a curated record.